Dama dama (fallow deer) is the source of this 786-nucleotide long non-coding RNA. RefSeq lists it as uncharacterized. The record is from RefSeq and is a predicted model, not a curated record. The transcript is spliced from 13 exons. Lineage: Eukaryota; Metazoa; Chordata; Mammalia; Artiodactyla; Cervidae.
AAAUCCCGUGGGCCUCUGCGAGAUGGUAUUUAUGUGUCCCGCGGUAAGCCUUCGGUCUCAUUUACCUACAGCUCUCGGGUUCGGACGCGCGCCAAAUGCUGAAGGAUCGCAAACAGGUCUCAUUGGAAUGUGGUUUAACUCAAAGGAGCUUACAAAUUGGAAGGAUGAGACAAGACUUAUUCCUGUGUGGAUCAAGUGUUCUCAUGCUGCAGCAUCUCCUCAUCAGUCCUGAGGAAUUCAACUGCCUCCCAGGGUGAAUACAGCUUGUUCCUCUUGGAAUGAUUUCCCUGGGGAGGGAGUCAGCACCCCAGCAAGCAGCAUGGUUCCUUCUUAUGAGGUUGUGCUCUUCCCUCGCCCACCCAUCACUGUCAGAUGAUUUGAAUUGAUAAUGCUGAUCCUCUGUGAGGUUAUCACAGGGUUAAUAGAGUCAUCUGUCUUACAAUGCCUCUUGAUCUGCUCAGGGUGACUCCUGCAAAGAGUCAAGAGGAGCAGCUUGUUGCUAUAAACUCCUGGAAAGCCUCCAGAGUUACAAGGUACUAUUGCCAGUUACUGUUGCUCAGAGGUACAGCUCCUUGUCUAGUGCCUGAGAAUACUUUUAGGGGAAAGGAGUAAGCCAUAUACCUGGUCAGCUCCAGUCUGAAGUUGAGAGGUCUAAAGAGAACAAAGCACACAUAAUGGAAUCCAAUGUGGAGGAUACAAAACUGAAAAAUCCUUGUACAGAUUACCUGUUCAAAUUAGCAUACAAUCAUUUCAGCCUUUCUAAAUAAAAAUUUUUUAAAACCUUCA